This 487-nucleotide ribosomal RNA is filed under the name uncultured bacterium. Its description in RNAcentral is "partial 16S ribosomal RNA". It matches the Rfam family "Bacterial small subunit ribosomal RNA", at positions 355 to 830 of the family's 1533-position model. The record is from RNAcentral.
UGGGGAAUUUUGGACAAUUGGGCGAAAGCCUGAUCCAGCAAUGCCGCGUGUGUGAAGAAGGCCUUCGGGUUGUAAAGCAAACUUUUGUCCGGAAAGAAAUCCUUGGCUCUAAUACAGUCGGGGGAUGACGGUACCGGAAGAAUAAGCACCGGCUAACUACGUGCCAGCAGCCGCGGUAAUACGUAGGGUGCAAGCGUUAAUCGGAAUUACUGGGCGUAAAGCGUGCGCAGGCGGUUUGCUAAGACCGAUGUGAAAUCCCCGGGCUCAACCUGGGAACUGCAUUGGUGACUGGCAGGCUAGAGUAUGGCAGAGGGGGGUAGAAUUCCACGUGUAGCAGUGAAAUGCGUAGAGAUGUGGAGGAAUACCGAUGGCGAAGGCAGCCCCCUGGGCAAGUACUGACGCUCAUGCACGAAAGGCGUGGAGAGCAAACAGGAUUUAGAUACCCUGGUAGUCCACGCCCUAAACGAUGUAACUAGUUGUUGGGGCA